This 468-nucleotide ribosomal RNA is filed under the name uncultured bacterium. RNAcentral's name for it is "partial 16S ribosomal RNA". It matches the Rfam family "Bacterial small subunit ribosomal RNA", at positions 28 to 507 of the family's 1533-position model. The record is from RNAcentral.
GACGAACGCUGGCGGCGGGCUUAACACAUGCAAGUCGAACGGCAAGGCCCUGCUUUUGUGGGGUGCCCGAGUGGCGAAGGGGUGAGUAACACGUGAGUAACCUGCCCUUGACUUUGGGAUAACUUCAGGAAACUGGGGCUAAUACAGUAUAGGAGCCCCUGUUGCAUGGAGGGGGUGGGAAAGUCUCGGCGGGCGGGGAUGGACGCGCGGCUUAUCAGCUUGUUGGUGGGGUAGUGGCUUACCCAGGCUUUGACGGGUAGCCGGCCUGUGAGGGUGACCGGCGACAUGGGGACUGCGAGAGGGACCAGAGUGCUACGGUGGACAGCAGUGGGGAAUAUUGCCCAAUGGGCGGGAGCCUGAUGCAGCAACGCCGCGUGCGGGAUGACGGCCUGCGGGUUGUAAACCGCUUUCGCCUGUGACGAAGCGUGAGUGACGGUAAUGGGUAAAGAAGCACCGGCUAACUACGUG